UCGUAACAAGGUUUCCGUAGGUGAACACUGCGGAAGGAUCAUUA
Molecule: ribosomal RNA, 44 nt
Filed under: uncultured fungus
Lineage: Eukaryota; Fungi
Description: partial 18S ribosomal RNA
Source: RNAcentral